UGCCUUUGUCCCGAUUGUCUUGGCAUCUUG
RNAcentral lists this non-coding RNA (30 nucleotides) under Mus musculus (house mouse). The record is from RNAcentral. Lineage: Eukaryota; Metazoa; Chordata; Mammalia; Rodentia; Muridae.